Molecule: ribosomal RNA, 1325 nt
Filed under: uncultured bacterium
Lineage: Bacteria
Description: 16S ribosomal RNA
Rfam family: Bacterial small subunit ribosomal RNA
Source: RNAcentral
AGCGGCGGACGGGUGAGUAACGCGUGGGCAACCUGCCCCAUACAAAGGGAUAGCCACUGGAAACGGUGAUUAAUACCUUAUAAGUCGGUAGUCUCGCAUGAGACAGCCGACAAAGAUUUAUCGGUAUGGGAUGGGCCCGCGUUUGAUUAGCUAGUUGGUGAGGUAACGGCUCACCAAGGCGACGAUCAAUAGCCGACCUGAGAGGGUGAUCGGCCACACUGGGACUGAGACACGGCCCAGACUCCUACGGGAGGCAGCAGUGGGGAAUAUUGCACAAUGGGCGCAAGCCUGAUGCAGCAACGCCGCGUGAGUGAUGAAGGCCUUCGGGUCGUAAAACUCUGUCCUAAGGGAAGAAGAAGUGACGGUACCUUAGGAGGAAGCCCCGGCUAACUACGUGCCAGCAGCCGCGGUAAUACGUAGGGGGCAAGCGUUAUCCGGAAUCACUGGGCGUAAAGGGUGCGUAGGCGGUGAUGUAAGACAGAUGUGAAAACCCAGGGCUUAACCUUGGACGUGCCUUUGGAACUGGUCAGCUUGAGUGCAGGAGAGGAAAGCGGAAUUCCUAGUGUAGCGGUGAAAUGCGUAGAUAUUAGGAGGAACACCAGUGGCGAAGGCGGUUGCCUGGCCUGUAACUGACGCUGAGGCUCGAAAGCGUGGGGAGCAAAUAGGAUUAGAUACCCUAGUAGUCCACGCUGUAAACGAUGAUUACUAAGUGUUGGAGCAAUUCAGUGCUGCAGUUAACGCAAUAAGUAAUCCGCCUGGGGAGUAUGCACGCAAGUGUGAAACUCAAAGGAAUUGACGGGGGCCCGCACAAGCGGUGGAGUAUGUGGUUUAAUUCGAAGCAACGCGAAGAACCUUACCAGGUCUUGACAUCCCUCUGAAUGGCGCUUAGCAGCGCAGGUCUUUCGGGACAGAGGAGACAGGUGGUGCAUGGUUGUCGUCAGCUCGUGUCGUGAGAUGUUGGGUUAAGUCCCGCAACGAGCGCAACCCUUGCCUUUAGUUGCCAGCACAUAAUGGUGGGCACUCUAGAGGGACUGCCGGUGACAAACCGGAGGAAGGUGGGGAUGACGUCAAAUCAUCAUGCCCCUUAUGAUCUGGGCUACACACGUGCUACAAUGGCCUGAACAGAGGGAAGCGAAACCGCGAGGUGAAGCAAAUCUUUUAAAGCCGGUCCCAGUUCGGAUUGCAGGCUGAAACUCGCCUGCAUGAAGUUGGAGUUGCUAGUAAUCGCAGGUCAGCAUACUGCGGUGAAUACGUUCCCGGGCCUUGUACACACCGCCCGUCACACCACGAAAGUCGGCAACACCCGAAGCCGGUGUCUCAACCCG